Molecule: long non-coding RNA, 794 nt
Organism: Oreochromis aureus
Lineage: Eukaryota; Metazoa; Chordata; Actinopteri; Cichliformes; Cichlidae
Source: Ensembl
AUCGGUGCAAAUUGUAAGUUUGUAUCAUAAUGUCUGGUGUUUUCGUAUUUGUUGGUUUGUUUUUAUUUUGUUUUAUUUUGCGAGUUGGUAAUUUUUGCUGCUCCAGCCAGCCAGAGAAUCCCCCGCCGCCCCGCCCUCUCCUCCCUGUGCCGCAAGCAGCAGGCGCACCUCGCAAACGGAGGGCGCCCUUACUCCCAGCAAAUGGGCGAUAGAAAACCGAUCGGUGCCUAUGACAUUCCCAAUAUGCGCUGGCAUGAUGUCGGGGCAGCAUGAGUACGAGCAAUUUUUUUUUUUUGCCGAUGCCCGUGAUGCCGCCCCCCACCACGAUGCCGCCCUGGGCAACCGCCCGUGUCGCCCGUAUCUAAAACCGCUACUGCCUGAGAUGUCAGGUCUGUGAAGCCAAACUUGAUGCUGGGGAUUUAUUUUUGUCAGUGGAGUCAAAUGGUUGAAGCAGAAUUUGCCCGUCUUACAUCUGUUGACCUGAAAGGGUUCCUUUUUGCUGUGCUUGACCAUUAUGGAGAGGUUCGUGGAGCUGUACAAAAUCAAGAGCGGCAUAGGAGGGCUAACUAGGCUCAUAAGAUGCUUCGGUGAUGAUAGCCCUACACAAAGGAAGAGGACAGAGGACCUCAUUUUCUAAAGGAAGAUCCUCACACACUUUCAAGACUGUGAAGCCGACAGGUAUUGAAGACACGUUUUCUAAGAGGAUGAAAGUUGGCAUUGCGAUGGUGAAAGAAGAAGACAUCAUCGAUGUGUUGGUUGUCCUUGAGGCGGCAGUAAUCCUGUCUAAUCUGAGG